This 6602-nucleotide long non-coding RNA is filed under the name Sus scrofa (pig). Its description in RNAcentral is "lncRNA (ENSSSCG00000052148.1)". The record is from RNAcentral. Lineage: Eukaryota; Metazoa; Chordata; Mammalia; Artiodactyla; Suidae.
ACAGGGGCUCUAGUGAGAGAGCAGGGACAGGUGAUCCCAGGCAGAAAUGAUGUGGCAUGUGACGAGGGAGGAACAAGGACAAAAAACGUUUCCAAAACAUCUGUUAGAGAGGAUGAAUGGAAGCACAAUGAGGAUACAAAGUAAAAAUAGAAGCAAUUAAUGUGAGAAAUGUCCUUUGAUCUCUUUAUAGAGAAACAAAAGCAACAUGCUUUAAAACCCUCUUCCACACAUCUCUCGCCUACAUUUUUCUCCUUGGACUGAAGCUUCCAUUCAUUUUCCAUCCUUCACUUUGCCAGAGAGACUAUGAAAGCCUUUCAAAAGCAGUCUUCAGUCUUGACUUUGAGCAAGAAUGCUACACAAUACUAAAUCUCCAACAUUCAACUCACUCCAGUCCUCACCUUAGUGAUGUUACUCUGAAAAACUUUAUGGAAAAAAAAAAUUCCAGCACCACUUUUUUUUUUUUAAAGCUUGUCAUUCAUUAGCAACAGAUUUUUUUUUUUUAAUUGUUACUUUGCCAGUGACCUGGAAGUCUCUGAAAUGGAAUGAAUUUCUGAAGUAGGAGGUCCACACACCAGAGUGAAGGUGGCAGUCUGGAAAUCAAAUUGUGCUGAAGUAGUUGCAAGUGAGUCCACCUCCAGCGAGAAACAAAUUGUUUGAACAAUAGAGUUAAUUAACUCGUGUUUAUAUCUUCCAUCACAGCAGGUGUGACGUCCCAGGGCACUGCUGAUACACCUGAGCUGAAAACCAGAGCUGCUUCUAGAAGACUGUGAAAAAUGACUGAAGCGUUAAAUAAGGCCAUGAUGGUACUGGUACCUACCCCUGCCUUCUGGGAAGACUCUGAAGGGAGGGAAAGUUUAGGGUCUCCUGGAGCUUUGUCUACUGUAUUUCUUUUCAUUUUAAAAGAGCAUUUAGUAUUAACAGAAGUGCAAUUUGGGUUGAUGUAUAAGGAGGACCCUCAGGUAUGUGCUGCUUCUAGAUGAUACGGGAAAUGCCGGGAAGGUGAGGGCUAACUGGUUUGAAGGGACGGAAACCCAAAUCAAAUUGAUCCCUUUCUCAUUUCUAAUCUGAUUGAGGAAACCCCUUGCUUGUACAAUAAAGCACACUUGGGAAAAUGCUUCAAGUGCUUUAUUGCAGUUUUAGUUCUCUGGUAAAUGGAAUUAAGCACUUUCCUCUCUUUGGAAAUUCUGUUAGAAGUUGGGCUUACCUUCAUGAAAUGUUCUUUUUCUUAGACUUUUCAAAUGUUUAUUGUAAUGUGCAUUACAUGUGGCAAUAAGAUGCCUAGAGACAGAUGCUACAGAGCACAGACAUAACUUCUUGCCUAGUGUUUUCAAGCUUGGUUUCAUCUAUUACUAGAUGGGAUGUGAAAUUGGCUUGGGUUUCCUCCACAUUUUAAAACCUCCAAUCUACUUAUUAUUAAUCUUACCGAUGAGGUGAACUGCAUUCUAGGUCAAUGACGUAACACUCAAUUAGUAGAGAAAUAGGUCUCCCCCACUCCCACCACACACCCAAUUUUUAUUUUCUGUCAGAAAUUUUGCAUCUCACUUAAAAUUUUGCUUAACUUGGGGGUAAAAAAUAUAAUUGAUAUCUGGAUCUUUUUGAAGAUUCAGGGGAAUUCAAGAGAGAAAAAUGGAAUGUCCUGUAGCUGUCUUACUAAAGACUCUGAUUAAAAUGCAGACCUAUAACAUGUAUUUUUAUACAUGAUUUAUUUAUCCAUCAGGAGUUAUCGAGGACUUUAUCACCAGCAGUGUGCUGAGUGCUGGCAAUACAAAGGGGAGUAAAGACAACCAUGAUGAGUUUGCAGUCGAAGGACAUCUGACCUGGUAAGUUUAUCUGUUCUGCUGUUUUGGGAAUGUGUUCAUGAAAUGUGACCUCAGGAAUAGAUUUCAUGAAGUUCCCUUAAACUAUCCCAGGUAACUGUCAGCCUUCUGAGAAUCAAGAGAUAUGUUGCAGGUUGGCUUCUCCCAGAAGCAGAUGCCCAGAUGGCAUUAAGAUGGUGAAGUUUUAUUGGGUAGUAACACCUGUGAAAGAAAAAGGGAGGAAGCCAGCUUGGUGGGGGGAGCCUUCAGUCUGCAAUGCAGAUCUGACAGGGUCUCUGCUGGCUCAUCCAGGAGCUCUGGAGCACAGACUGUCUGUUGGAGGGGCCCUGCAUUGGGUAGAAAUGGUUAAGUUUGAGGUUCUGGAGUGUGAGCUCAGAUUUUCCAAGGUGCCCUGGUGAACACAUAAGGGCCCUGCAGGAUAUUUUGAAUUUUCCAGGGAAACACAGUAACAUCUGUCAGAUACCCUACAAACUACUACUCUUUCCUAGUUUGGACCUGCCAAUUUAAUAGAAGGAACUGGGAGGCAAUUUUUUUUUGGCUUAGGGAGUGCCAUGAAAAAAUUACGCUGAGGGUGCCACAAACUGGCAAGGCUUGAGGACUUCUGGGCUAGGCCUUGUACCUUGGGACCUCAAGAAGGAUGUGAGCAUGGCUGUCAUUGCCUUGCUCAGUCAUUGACUGGGCCCAUCUGAGAAGAGUGUGACUUCAGUCUGAAGGCUGGGUGGUCCCUAGUGAAGCUGGGAACUGGAAGCGGUCCCACUAACCAGAGCUUAGCAUACUGCCCACAAAUGGAAUAUUCCACGAAUGUUGGGAAAAGGAAUGAAAACCCAUUGGCGGGGCCAGGGAAUCCUGAUCCCAAGCUACACUGAAGGAAUCAGCCAGAACUGUUCCCUACAUGGGCAAGGGUUGUGUGAGUAGCUCUUCAGAGGAAGUGGAGAUUUUAGAAAAAAAGCAGUGUCUGUGGUUGUUUCAGGGUAGAGGCAAUUUGUUCAGUUUGACUAAGGCUGGACCUCACCAUGGAGGGGAUGGGGGUGGGCAGCACCUUUUUCCAGCAGCCCAGCCAUUCGUAUUGGAUUCAGUUCCUCAGAUGUAAGCAGACACGGUCACCAGCGGAAUGAUUAGAGAGCUGCAGUUGGUGAUUCCAAACAAUUUUAUGGAGAAUGAGGAGCCGUUACACAAUUCUAAUAUCUGUGAUCCCCAGAGCCCUCCCAUCCGUUGACAACUCACUUCCCACUCACAAAUGUGUUAUCUGGGUCUUAAUGUGACUAUUAAGUCACUAGGCCCGGGCUUAUGAAUAAGCUUUCAUGUGUCAAGUACUGGAUCUCACUUGUGAGCUACUUCUUAUCUGGAUGAUAAAAAGCAAUUUCGGUAGCACUUAACUUAAUUGGUUUGUGACCAGACAAGGACUCUGGGUCCCACUUACAGAGCUAGGGCUACACAUGCCUUGGAAAUUCUAGAAAGCUGGUGUCUUGUAUGUUUGGAUAGGACAAUCACCCAUUAUUUCUGAGCCUGAAGGUGGGAAAAUUCUCUACGUGUUAAACAAGGUUUGUGGAACUUAAUCUAGCAAAUAAAUAACUGAAAGAAACUUCAGACAAUCAAAAGGCUGAGCUCUAUUUGAAAAAGCUGCCAGGUUCUCAUCUGGCCUGCUAUGUUGUCUUACUUUCAUUGCCUGUAUUUAGAGAGCUCUGUUUAUCCAUGUUUGCAUUUGCACCCUACUCCCAAGCUCCCCGUUUGAAAUUGUUUGGAAAUUUAAUUAUAAUUUAGUUACAAAUUUAAUUAAAAAUUUGAAAAUAUAAUUUUUUUUCUUUUUAGGGCCAUACCCACAGCACAUGGAAUUUCCCAAGCUGGGGGUAGAAUCAGAGCUACAGCUGCCAGCCUACAGCACAGCCACAGCAACGCCAGAUCCAAGCCACAUCACAUCUGUGACCUACAUGGCAAUGCUGGAUCCUCAACCCCAGUGAGUGAGGCCAGGGAUCAAACCUACAUUCUCAUGGAUACUGGUCGGGUUCAUUACUGCUGAGCCACAAUGAGACUCCAAAAACAUUAUGUUUUUUUUUUUAAAAAAAAACUGGACGUGUUCACUUGAUUGUCAUUCUGGUCAGAGGAGACUUCAUCCUUUCUUACUUUUGUGAACUGGGAUAUGAUAGAAAGAGCCCCCCUCCACCCUCACCUCCUCAUCACAUCAGCUGUGUCAUCAACUCAAUGUGUGAUCUCAGGCCUAUUCCUCCGUUAUCUUAGUUUCCUACAUGUAAAAUGAGGAGCGAGGAAAGGCCCUUUCAGCUUCUGGGAGUCUGAAUUCCAGAGCCCUACCUCCCAUGUACUUCCCACUCCCAGGGAGCUUCUUUUGAUCCCUGCCUGGGACAGAGCUCCCUUCCCCAGGCUGCUCUCCUCCUCAGGCCUUCUGUCUCCAUCCCCAGCUCUGGGCUCAGAUAAACGCUGCUCUGGAAGCUGCUGAGGUAACCAAAGCCUCUUCUCUGGAGGAGAAGAAAUUUGCUUUUCUGUCACCCACGGGAAUUUCUCAUCACCCCGAGGGAAGUGCUGGUGAUAAAUGCAAAAUAGCACAAGCGUCCUCUGCUCAGCUGGUGACACCUGACUGUUUUCUGUUGACUCUAGCCAGUGAUACUCAAGCUGCCUGUGGGAAAAAAAAAAUCUAUUUCUAUUUGAAAUGAUGGACAGUAAAUCAUAUGUCUGGUUUACAGUAGCUCAAGGCCAAAAGGAACUCUGCCCUUUAAUAGGAAAUACUAACCUAGGGCACACACACCAAUCUUUUGAGAGGAAACAACCCAUACAAGAGAAGGGGUGGGGCAGAGUUUGUGGCUUUGGUUAGCUUUUACUUGAAUGAGAGGCUAAUUAACAUAAAAAUUAAUUUUAUGUGGCUAUCAACCAGCCCAGAGUUUAUAUGCUCUAAGAGAAUUAUGGUAAUUAGUGCAUCCAGUCAGCACAACAAUACAAAUAUUCAGUGGCAUUUGUGAUUUCCAGCAGUGCCUCUGCUACCUGGGCAAUUCUCCUUCUGAGUAUCUGUUUCUCAAGAACAUGGUUUUUAAUAGCUUUGACUUGACAUUUAUGUCUUGAGCAAAACUGAAAUGGGCAGCUAAAGACUAAUUAUGCUAAAUAUUCCAACAAGCAUAAUUACCAGCAGUCCGGCAGGGGGCACCGAAAGCAACAUUUCAGUGUGUCUUUCUUUUUCUUUUUUUUCUUUUCUUCCUUUUUUUUUUUCCAAUUUAAAAAAACAAAAAACAAAAAACAAAAAAACCUUCUUUCCCCCUCCCCCAGCACCUUAUUCUAAACUUAUUUAAUGGAAGCUGAUUGCCCUAUUCUAUGAUUCCUUUUUUGCAUAAUCUGCACUCCAGCAACCUAGAAGCAUUUUUAUUUCAGCAUAAUUUUAAAUUUUGGUUUCUGCUCUGUUAGAUUCUUUCCAUUGACAGAAGAAGCAAAAUAUUGGCCGGAGAGCUCCAGCCGGGGAGGUUUUUGAGCAGAACCUUCUGAUUUGUUUUCAGGGCCUCUAUGCUGCACGCCACCCGGAGCCUGGCUUGGUGUCGGAGUUAAUUGCAGAGGGGAGGAGAAGGCAUGCACACACACUUGCAAAUUUGAUGUCUAUUAAGUCAACAGCAAAAGUGAGAAAUAAGCUUUUCACUAGCAAAUUCUAAUUAUAAUGAAAAAUUCCUAACAAUAUACACAGGAGAAAAACAGAUACAUAAGUACGGCUCUGUAAUUUCCUGAGGAUCAUAGUUGGCAGCAUUUGACUGCACAAGUCAAGGACCUUAUAGGCAAGAUUAUCUAGAAAAUCCCUUGCUUCAGAAGUCAAAAUCCUUUAAGUCUUCAGUAUUUAAAUGCAGCUGUAUUGCUGAUUAGAUGUCAGAACUAGAGCACACUGAAGUGCCCUGUUUAGUGAUUAACUCAAUGGACCAAUUUUGCUUUCAGAUACUUCUACCAGAGGAAAAAUUUGCAUACAAAUUUGGAAAGAACUAUCAUCUUUCUGGGUUAUGCAGGGACUGGGGGAUGCAAAACUUGUGAAUGCCACAAUAAUCCAGUUCCGCAAUUGUCUUCUCUCUAAUUUAAUCUCUUAGUGAAUUAUCUUUAUCACCGAGUGUUUGGCAGAGCCACAGGAGGGCUGCUAGAAUCUAAUCUUUUCUCUUUCUCUCUUUUUUUUUUUUCCCAGUGAUUUAUUGAUUAGUAUCCCCGCUCUGCCUGCUGUGUAGGAAUUAGCACUCAGAGAGGGCUUUCAUCCCUGUACCAUGGAUUUAAAUCUUUGCAAUAUGUUGGGGGUUCCCUGGCAGAUAGGUAUGUGACUUUUUUUGCUUUUAUGAUUAUAAUUGAUCCACCUAAUACAUCAUAAAUUUGAGGUAUAAUCUGAGUGCUCCUCACCAUAUGGAGAAAUUCCUGUAUCUCUCAGCUCAAAUUCUCCCUCCUUCCUGGCUCCCCUGGGCCAGGUAGACAGGGCCUCCUCUGCCAUCCCAUAGUACGUGGGCAGCUGAAGGCCAGGGAUGGGGUGUGAGGUGGUUUAACUGUGCAGCCUAUUCUGUGUUAGCCAACAUGGGCAUUGGAUCGUGAUACAGGAACAUGUUCUUCCCGUUGUGGCUCAGCAGAAAUGAAUCUGACUAGCAUCCAUGAGGACGCAGGUUCAAUCCCUGGCCUUGCUCAGUGGGUUAAGGAUCUGGCAUUGCUGAGAGCUGUGGUGUAGGUCGCAGACAUUGCUCAGAUCGGGCAAUGCUGUGGCUGUGGCUGUGGUGUAGGUCGGGAGUUACAGCUUGGAUUCAACCUCUAGCCUGGGAACCUCCACAUGCUGCA